GGGGAUGUUAAGGAUUCGACAUUCAGCCCUCAGUAGUACUGCGUUCGUUAGGCGUACGUAUAAGCGCACUUUCUUUGUUUAACUGCAAACAAUAAUCAAGCUAUCGCUGCGUAAUUUAACAGCGCUCCUGUACUGAUGACACCGGAUAGUUAGUACAGUAUCAUAUGCCGGCUGUUGUUGAUGUUUCGAUUUGCAUACGACGUGACGGUGCUAUAAAGAGUUGUUUGGACACGGGUUCGAUUCCCGCCAUCUCCACUA
RNAcentral lists this transfer-messenger RNA (258 nucleotides) under Acetilactobacillus jinshanensis. RNAcentral's name for it is "Standard tmRNA". It matches the Rfam family "transfer-messenger RNA". From Rfam's summary of the family: Bacterial tmRNA, also known as 10Sa RNA or SsrA, is named for its dual tRNA and mRNA-like properties. Its role is to liberate the mRNA from a stalled ribosome. Lineage: Bacteria; Bacillati; Bacillota; Bacilli; Lactobacillales; Lactobacillaceae. The record is from Rfam by way of RNAcentral.